UACGGAGGGGACUAGCGUUGUUCGGAAUUACUGGGCGUAAAGCGUGCGCAGGCGGUUUUGUAAGCCAGAUGUGAAAUCCCCGGGCUUAACCUGGGAAUGGCAUUUGGGACUGCAAGGCUCGAGUGCGGCAGAGGAGACUGGAAUUCCUGGUGUAGCAGUGAAAUGCGUAGAUAUCAGGAGGAACACCGAUGGCGAAGGCAGGUCUCUGGGCUGACACUGACGCUCAUGCACGAAAGGCGUGGGGAGCAAA
Molecule: ribosomal RNA, 250 nt
Filed under: uncultured bacterium
Lineage: Bacteria
Description: partial 16S ribosomal RNA
Rfam family: Bacterial small subunit ribosomal RNA
Source: RNAcentral